GACGAACGCUGGCGGCGUGCUUAACACAUGCAAGUCGAACGGCAAGGCCCUGCUUUUGUGGGGUGCUCGAGUGGCGAACGGGUGGGUAACACGUGAGUAACCUGCCCUUGACUUUGGGAUAACUUCAGGAAACUGGGGCUAAUACCGGAUAGUAGCUCCUGCUGCAUGGUGGGGGUUGGAAAGUUUCGGCGGGUGGGGAUGGACUCGCGGCUUAUCAGCUUGUUGGUGGGGUAGUGGCUUACCAAGGCUCUGACGGGUAGCCGGCCUGAGAGGGUGAACGGCGACAUUGGGACUGCGAGACGGCCCAGACUGCUACGGGAGGCAGAAGUGGGGAAUAUUGCACAAUGGGCGGAAGCCUGAUGCAGCAGCGCCGCGUGCGGGAUGACGGCCUUCGGGUUGUAAACCGCUUUCGCCUGUGACGAAGCGUGAGUGACGGUAAUGGGUAAAGAAGCACCGGCUAACUACGUG
Molecule: ribosomal RNA, 468 nt
Filed under: uncultured bacterium
Lineage: Bacteria
Description: partial 16S ribosomal RNA
Rfam family: Bacterial small subunit ribosomal RNA
Source: RNAcentral